AUGUCCAAUCUGAAGGAGCAGAUGAGUAGCUUCAAGCAGAGCAGUGCUAGUCCAAAGGAAACAAUGUCCUCCAGGUUGCAGGCUUCCACUGAACAGCUUCAGGAGGUGUUUGGAAAAAGCCAACAACUUGUAGGUGUAGCUGCCUACUAUAACCCAGAGAUGUUGGAGUAUAACCUCGGAGACUGUCUCAGUUUGCCUCAUGCUUUCAAAGUAUCUGUCCCCGAAAGCACCAUAAGAAUCUACGAAGGAAUGCGUGAAGCCAGAAAGCCAACCAUUGAGAGGCUGAUAAACUUUGCCGUUGAGGUGCAAACUCGAGUGCAGUACUACAGAAAGACGUUUGAGGAGAUUGUAAGGAUGGAUUUGGAAAUUUUUGAGGAGCGGCGGCUGCAGGAUGUUCUCCUCUGCAGAUUGCAGGCUCCCAACUUAUCUAUGAAAGAGCAGGACUUUUCCACAGUGUGGGAGCAAAGAUUGAGCGAGCUGUUGGAAAAAAGGCAGCUUUACAUUCAGAAAAUGAGCAGCUCUAAUGAAAUUGUCCACUCCUCCCUGCGGUUAUACUACAAUGAGUUCCAUCCUGAGCUACAAGAGCUAGACGUGUUUUUAAAGCAGCUGGUUGGACUGAUGGAGGAGCCUAUUGAUUUUGGAAAAGUGAACGAGCUGCUGAUCCGGGAGCGGGAGCGUCGGUUUGCUCUCGUAACACGAUGCAGGGACAUUCCUGUGCAGAGCAUCCUCAGUGAGCACAGUGCUCUGUUAGAGGAGCUGAAGAAGCUGGAGGCAGAGGCUGUUUCUCUGCUCCAACAGGAGAAGAAUAAGAGAUUCACGUUGAUGCAGGCUCUGGAUGGAGCUCCCCUGCAGGCUGAGCUGUCCCUCAUCAGAGACAACCAGAAGCUGACUGAGCAGCUCCAGCAAGCUGAGCUCAAGCUUCAGAUUCUCAGUACUCAGAAUGAACACCUGCAGGACUCUCAAAUUAAAGCCAACAACAGGGUGAGCAGCCAGAAGGAGGCCACCCAGCUGCUGCAGACGGAGCUGCAGGACAGCCGUGCACUCGUGGAGGACAAAGAGAACACCAUCCAGAGCCUGAAGAGCAAGCUGAGAGAGUCUGAGACUAACGUGCCUCCCGGUGUGGCCGAACUGGAGAAAGUGAAGAUCAAGCUGAUCCAAACGGAGGCCAAACUCGCCUCAACUUGUGACGAACACAAACAUGAGAUUCAGAGGAUGAACACACUGCUGAGCGAGAAGGAAGCUUCACUCAGGAGACUGAAGGAGACGCUGAGGAAAUCCCUACCACAAGGAGAAGACUCACUCCUACAGGGUGAAGACCUUCAUGCCAGGCUGACCAAUACCAGAGGAUUGGGGGUUAAAAGCAGCAUCCUGCUGGAAAAGACUAAACUGGAGGAGGAGACCAAGCGGCUUCAUGUCAGGAUCUCUGAGCUGGAAAGCUCAGUUUCCAGUCAGCAGGAAGAAAUAAUCAAGUGGAAGAGCCGAGCCAUAAAACUGAAGGGAAAGGGCAAAGCAGAGGUAGAGCGGCCUUCGUCUCCCUGCACACCUACAAAGAGGGGCCUGCCUCUCACUGCAGACUCCACACACCUUCUCAGCUCUCCAAAGAAGUUCCUGGUGACUCCCAAGAAGAUUCUGGACUCUCCCAACAAGCUGGAUUCUCCGAAAAGCCGGUUCUUUGAUGUGGGACAAAGGUCGGAGCUGCUGAGCAAAACCUGUCCAAAGCAAUUCUUUGACAACUCCAGACUGGGAACAGAUCCAGAUGUAGCUUUGCAGAAAGAUUCAUGGCCCACUUCACCAAAAAUGGAGGAUGUGUGUAAAACACAGUGAUAAUCAGGACCAGAGACCACUGCUGCCUGUCCUUUGCUGACUACGCUCGCCGCCAUUUCUUAUGUUUAUUUGUGGCCUUUCUUGUUUUUGUAUUUUCUAUCCUUUUAAUCUUUUAUGACAAUAAAAUCUAUUGACUAUGUACA
Molecule: long non-coding RNA, 1967 nt
Filed under: Gouania willdenowi (blunt-snouted clingfish)
Lineage: Eukaryota; Metazoa; Chordata; Actinopteri; Blenniiformes; Gobiesocidae
Description: lncRNA (ENSGWIG00000012698.1)
Source: RNAcentral